RNAcentral lists this ribosomal RNA (497 nucleotides) under uncultured bacterium. RNAcentral describes it as "partial 16S ribosomal RNA". It matches the Rfam family "Bacterial small subunit ribosomal RNA", at positions 28 to 507 of the family's 1533-position model. The record is from RNAcentral.
GAUGAACGCUGGCGGCGUGCCUAAUACAUGCAAGUCGAGCGAACGAACGAGAAGCUUGCUUCUCUGAUGUUAGCGGCGGACGGGUGAGUAACACGUGGAUAACCUACCUAUAAGACUGGGAUAACUUCGGGAAACCGGAGCUAAUACCGGAUAAUAUUUUGAACCGCAUGGUUCAAAAGUGAAAGACGGUCUUGCUGUCACUUAUAGAUGGAUCCGCGCUGCAUUAGCUAGUUGGUAAGGUAACGGCUUACCAAGGCAACGAUGCAUAGCCGACCUGAGAGGGUGAUCGGCCACACUGGAACGGAGACACGGUCCAGACUCCUACGGGAGGCAGCAGUAGGGAAUCUUCCGCAAUGGGCGAAAGCCUGACGGAGCAACGCCGCGUGAGUGAUGAAGGUCUUCGGAUCGUAAAACUCUGUUAUUAGGGAAGAACAUAUGUGUAAGUAACUGUGCACAUCUUGACGGUACCUAAUCAGAAAGCCACGGGUAACUACGUG